This 490-nucleotide ribosomal RNA is filed under the name uncultured bacterium. RNAcentral describes it as "partial 16S ribosomal RNA". It matches the Rfam family "Bacterial small subunit ribosomal RNA", at positions 30 to 507 of the family's 1533-position model. The record is from RNAcentral.
AUUGAACGCUGGCGGCAGGCCUAACACAUGCAAGUCGAACGGUAACAGGAAGACGCUUGCUUCUUUGCUGACGAGUGGCGGACGGGUGAGGAAUGUCUGGGAAACUGCCUGAUGGAGGGGGAUAACUACUGGAAACGGUAGCUAAUACCGCAUAACGUCGCAUGACCAAAGAGGGGGACCUUCGGGCCUCUUGCCAUCGGAUGUGCCCAGAUGGGUUUAGCUAGUAGGUGGGGGAACGUCUCACCUAGGCGACGAUCCCUAGCUGGCCGGAGAGGAUGACCAGCCACACUGGAACUGAGCCCCGGUCCAGACUCCUACGGGAGGCAGCAGUGGGGAAUUUUGCACAAUGGGCGCAAGCCUGAUGCAGCCAUGCCGCGUGUAUGAAGAAGGCCUUCGGGUUGUAAAGUACUUUCAGCGGGGAGGAAGGGAGUAAAGUUAAUACCUUUGCUCAUUGACGUUACCCUCAGAAGAAGCACCGGCUAACUCCGUG